GGCCACUCCCGCGGCAUAUGGAGGUUCCCAGGCUAGGGGUCGAAUCGGAGCCACAGCAACACCAGAUCCGAGCCGUGUCUGUGAACUACACCCCAGCUCACGGCAACGCCGGAUCGUUAACCCACUGAGCAGGUGCAGGGACCGAACCCGCAACCUCAUGGUUCCUAGUCGGAUUCGUUAACCACUGCGCCACAAAGGGAACUCCUGUCGCUUUAUUAAAAACGCACAAAUGCAUAGAAAACUGUGAGGCUGCAGGCAAGUCCCCGUUAAGACACACGUCCCCAGUCGUGCCCAACUCCAUCUUUCGACAUUGAUCUCUACCUCGACUGCUUUUACUCGUUAGUCAUAACGACUAACGACGUACCGCAUGCUUUUUCUGUACAAUGCCCUUCGUUUACAUUUAUUCGGCAUUCACCAGCCAACGUAAAUCAGCUUAUCUAGUAAGUUUUGUAAUCAUUUUAUAGUUGGGAAAAACAUAAACUUGGGAAAAGUAUAUUCACAGACCCAACGUCUUACAGUCAUAUACGCGAGACAGAAAUAGGAUGCUUUGCCUAGACCUGCACAAGGUCUAGGUUUUUCCGCACUUAUCUUUUAAAUAUCUGGAGGAUACACAUCUAUCUUCAUUCAAGGCAACCUCUUUUACAUCUGUCGCUCCCACAUAUAACUGUAUUCAUCCUGGUAAGUAACAUACACGAACAUGCCAUUAAGUGAGCACCUACUGCAUGUUCAAUGUUAUCCUGCUGCUGACACCAUAAAAAUUUUUUUAACUGAAGUAUAGUUGAUGUACAAUGUCAUGUUUAGUUUCAGGUAAACAACCAAGUAGUUCAGUUAUAUAUAUUAUACUAUAUAUUACAUGUAAACAGGUACGUAUGUAUUCUUUUUCAGAUUCUUUUCCCUUAUAGGUUAGUACAAAUUAUUGAUAUAGUUCCCUCUCCUAUACAGUAGGUCCUUGUUGGUUAUCUAUCUUUAUCUAUAGUACUAUGUAUCUGUUAAUCCCAAACUCCAAAUUUAUCCCCCCCACACUUCCUCUUUGGUAACCAUAAGUUUGUUUUCUGUGCCUGUCGGUCUAUUUCUAUUUUGUAUAUAUGUUCAUUUACAUCAUUGUUUUAGAUUCCACAUACAAGUGAUACCAUAUGAUGUUUGUCUUUCACUGACUAACUUCACUUAGUAUGGAAAUCUCUUGGUCCAUCCAUGUUGCUGCAAAAGUCAUUAUUUCAUUCUUUUUAUGGCUGCGUAAUAUUCCAUUGUGUAUGUCUUCUAUAAUAAUUAUUAAAAAUCACAAGGUGUGCUCAUAAAACAUACUGCUAUGGUAUUUCAAUAUACAUGCAUCCUUCAUAUUUACAUGUUUCUACUCAAACAAAAGGAAAGCAUAGAGAAUAUUAUAUUCAAUAUUUUGGGGUUUUUUUUAACUGCCAUUAUGGCUCCACAGGAUCUGUGGAUUGCGCCUCUGGAGUUCGGAGACCUGCGUUUAAGCACUGCCUCUACUCUUUUCGAGCUUACUGACUCUGUGGCCCUUGAGAAUUCCUCGAAUGUGUUGAACCUGAGGAACAAUUUCUAAGAUGGGAAUAAGCUCAUCCAUCUGUCUACCCCAAAGGGUGGCUACAAAUAUCAAAUAAUAAAGUGCAGGUGAUAAGCACAUUCAAAUAUAUAAAAAAAGUGUACAGUGGUAAUUAUAAACCUCAAAGAGGCUUACAUUAAAGCAGGAUUUGUAUGGCUUUUGUCCUUUUAUGACUUUGAAGGGACCGCAGUUAUAUCCUGAGGGAUGAGGAAGAGGAAACAAAGAAAGACACAAAGUAUUAUGUUUGUAUAGUAACAAGAGCAAACUACGAUGCUCCACCUUCAAACAGAAAACGACAACAUGGAAAGUACCAGGAAAGUUUUGUUUUGUUGUUUUGUUAUUUUUAGGGCCACACCCAUGGCAUAUGGAGGUUUCCAGGCUAGGGGUGGAAUCCCAGCUGGAGAUGUCGGCCUACACCACAGCUACAGCAACGCGGGAUCUGAGCCACAUCUGUGAACUACACCACAGUUCAUGGCAACGCUGGAUCCUUAACCCACUAAGUGAGGCCAAGGAUCCAACCUGCGUCCUCAUGGAUGCUAGUCAGAUUCUUUUCCUCUGAGCCACGACAGGAACUCCAGGAAAGCUUACUCUAGUAGGUCUCGGCCAAGAAAACUGGAUUGCAAGUUCUUCGCAAUCACAUCAACUCUCCCUGCCCCUUUUCUUAAACUUUGCACUCUCCCUUGGUUGGCAUGAAGAGGCCCCACAGGACCCUAUAACUGGGAACAUCUUGGAGAAGACCAGCCUCAUUCUUCUGUCCUCACAGAGUGGAUGGGAUGGAGAAGAAAAAGGGAGAAGGUGCCUUUUCAAUACAUAGACUGCAUUAGAACAGAAGCAAACGUACCAUGCAGCCCCAAACAGCCCCUAGAGCUUCACCAAAGCUCAAGCCAAAAACCAAAACAAAGCAGAAACCUGGAAAUGGGAACCUGAUUACAAACAGAAUCCGUGCUACUGUAACUGUGUUAAAUCCACGAGGUGCCUGGGCACGAUCAGCUCUGAGGGAGGAUGGGAAAAACACUGGUACGUCAUGGCGAUGUUGAGAAAAGACCUAGUGAUGGCUAUUUUGGCAAAUCAGGAACUUGCUGUGUAGACCAGAAGUGCUCUUGGGACCACAAGGCCCAUUUUCACUGCUGAUCAUCACAGGCUUCCAAAGGAAACAGCCAAGCACCCUCACUGGCAUGCACUGUGCCAGGUCACAUGCACACUCCAGGCGAUCUUGUGAGUAUUCACCAGGGGCAGUUGACGGCGCUUUUCCUUUGUAUCACACCUGGAGGAACCUUUAGUCAUUUGUGACUCUGUCUCUGUCUCUCUCUGGCUGUGUGUGUGUGUGUGUGUGUGUGUGUGUGUGUGUGUACGCGCAUGCGCGCGAGCAUGAGCACACACAGCCCCCCCCCUUCCACCUCAAUUCAAGCAUGAACCUUUGAUGGGACAUUUUUGCUCCUCAUCAGAAUGGAAAGACGGAGCUUCAGAGAAGCAACUGAGUGGAGAGAAUAAAAAAAGAUGACAUCACUUCAAACGUGGACCUGCCAGAGAAUGAGCCUUUCAACUGCUCCCCUGUGUCGGCAGCCAGGGACCCUCAACUGUCCCUGACCCGCUGCAGGCUGCCCCCGUUUCAUAUCUUUUGAUCACUGUUUGUUUUAUGUCACCAUUCAUAACAUCUCCCGUGUGUAUAUGUGUGUGUUGCACUUGUGUACUUGCUAAAGCAACUGUCCUCGUGUUCACUUUACAAACUCCCAGGCGAGAGGGGGAGCUCAUUAGCAUCCGUUAUUAGUUUGAUAAUUCUAAAUAAAGUCAAUACAAACAUUUACAGGGCGUGUGCCCAGGAAGAGGAGCAGGAAUAAGAAUUUGGGACCCUGUGCUCCUGUUCUUUCUCAUCCAGGCCCUAAAGGGUACACGCGGCAAAACGGCCCUAGAGGUGGGUCCUCUUUUUCCUUUUGGACAACACAUGAACGCCAGAGGCAGACACUGAGCUGCUCAAAUAGUCCCAGUUUCCUUCCUCUCUCCUUUCCCCACCAACCCAUGAGAAGUGAGGGGAAAAAAAAUGUACAUUCAAGACAGGCUGAGCUGGGUUCAGAUCCUCCUCAGCCACUGCUUUGAUCUUCUUCUGCUAUGUAACUAAUGAUGCACUCGAGAUUCACUGAACCACUGAAAACAACCACCACUGUUUUCUCACAGUUCUACCAUCUGGCCGGGCUCAGCGGGACCGUUCUUCUGCUGAUCCGACGGGUGGUCACGCAAAUGGAUGCAUUCAGCUGGCUUGUUGGCUGGGGGCUGGCCUUGGCUGGGGUGAUGGGCUCGCUGCAUCUCAGUUGCUGCCUCUCUUGUCUCUUUCCCCCAACAGUCUUGGGGCCUCUUGUUCUCCUCACGGGCGCAGCACAGUAGCUGGAUAUUUUUUACCAAUGACUCAAGCCUUUGGAGCCCACAGAAGGGGAAGCUGCCAGGCCUGCUUCUGGAACUGGAGCAAUCUAGCCAGUUCAGAUACAGGGGAUGGGAACUAUACACGGGGUGGAUACAGAAGGCGUGAGUCACUAGAAGACACUCGGGGAGCCGACUAUGGGAGCCACCUGCUCCCGCCCCUUAACAACUCCCUUAAUCUCUUCGUUUUGAUGUGUUCUGGUGUGACAUGUUCCCCCAUCCCU
Molecule: long non-coding RNA, 4194 nt
Filed under: Sus scrofa (pig)
Lineage: Eukaryota; Metazoa; Chordata; Mammalia; Artiodactyla; Suidae
Description: lncRNA (ENSSSCG00040041002.1)
Source: RNAcentral